UACAAGUUUAUUAGGUCUCGUCUA
Molecule: non-coding RNA, 24 nt
Filed under: Arabidopsis thaliana (thale cress)
Lineage: Eukaryota; Viridiplantae; Streptophyta; Magnoliopsida; Brassicales; Brassicaceae
Source: RNAcentral